This 414-nucleotide ribosomal RNA is filed under the name uncultured bacterium. Its description in RNAcentral is "bacterial SSU rRNA". It matches the Rfam family "Bacterial small subunit ribosomal RNA", at positions 946 to 1364 of the family's 1533-position model. The record is from RNAcentral.
UCACUGGGGGAACGCGAAGAACCUUACCAGGUCUUGACAUCCUUUGACCACUCUAGAGAUAGAGCUUCCCCUUCGGGGGCAAAGUGACAGGUGGUGCAUGGUUGUCGUCAGCUCGUGUCGUGAGAUGUUGGGUUAAGUCCCGCAACGAGCGCAACCCUUAUUGUUAGUUGCCAUCAUUCAGUUGGGCACUCUAGCAAGACUGCCGGUGACAAACCGGAGGAAGGUGGGGAUGACGUCAAAUCAUCAUGCCCCUUAUGACCUGGGCUACACACGUGCUACAAUGGGAAGUACAACGAGUUGCGAAGUCGCGAGGCUAAGCUAAUCUCUUAAAGCUUCUCUCAGUUCGGAUUGCAGGCUGCAACUCGCCUGCAUGAAGCCGGAAUCGCUAGUAAUCGCGAUCAGCACGCCGAUGCC